UCUCCUACGGGGGGUAGCAGUGAGGAAUAUUGGUCAAUGGGAGAGAUCCUGAACCAGCCAAGCCGCGUGAGGGAAGACGGCCCUAUGGGUUGUAAACCUCUUUUGUCGGAGAACAAAACCCGGGACGUGUCCCGGACUGCGUGUAUCCGAAGAAAAAGCAUCGGCUAACUCCGUGCCAGCAGCCGCGGUAGUACGUAGGGGGCAAGCGUUAUCCGGAUUUAUUGGGCGUAAAGGGAACGCAGGCGGUCUUUUAAGUCUGAUGUGAAAGCCUUCGGCUUAACCGGAGUAGUGCAUUGGAAACUGGG
RNAcentral lists this ribosomal RNA (305 nucleotides) under uncultured bacterium. Its description in RNAcentral is "bacterial SSU rRNA". It matches the Rfam family "Bacterial small subunit ribosomal RNA", at positions 335 to 637 of the family's 1533-position model. The record is from RNAcentral.